RNAcentral lists this ribosomal RNA (486 nucleotides) under uncultured bacterium. RNAcentral's name for it is "partial 16S ribosomal RNA". It matches the Rfam family "Bacterial small subunit ribosomal RNA", at positions 30 to 507 of the family's 1533-position model. The record is from RNAcentral.
AUUGAACGCUGGCGGCAUGCCUUACACAUGCAAGUCGAACGGCAGCACGGGUGCUUGCACCUGGUGGCGAGUGGCGAACGGGUGAGUAAUACAUCGGAACAUGUCCUGUAGUGGGGGAUAGCCCGGCGAAAGCCGGAUUAAUACCGCAUACGAUCUACGGAUGAUAGCGGGGGACCUUCGGGCCUCGCGCUAUAGGGUUGGCCGAUAGCUGAUUAGCUAGUUGGUGGGGUAAAGGCCUACCAAGGCGACGAUCAGUAGCUGGUCUGAGAGGACGACCAGCCACACUGGGACUGAGACACGGCCCAGACUCCUACGGGAGGCAGCAGUGGGGAAUUUUGGACAAUGGGCGAAAGCCUGAUCCAGCAAUGCCGCGUGUGUGAAGAAGGCCUUCGGGUUGUAAAGCACUUUUGUCCGGAAAGAAAUCCUUGGCUCUAAUACAGUCGGGGGAUGACGGUACCGGAAGAAUAAGCACCGGCUAACUACGUG